GUCCUAGCCGUAAACGGUGAGCACUAGGUGUAGGAAGUAUCGACCCUUCCUGUGCCGCAGCUAACGCAUUAAGUGCUCCGCCUGGGGAGUACGACCGCAAGGUUGAAACUCAAAGGAAUUGACGGGGGCCCCGCACAAGCGGUGGAGCAUGUGGUUUAAUUCGAUGCAACGCGAAGAACCUUACCCAGACUUGACAUGUGCCGGACAGGUGUGGAAACACACCCUCCCUUCGGGGCCGGUGCACAGGUGCUGCAUGGCUGUCGU
RNAcentral lists this ribosomal RNA (264 nucleotides) under uncultured bacterium. RNAcentral describes it as "partial 16S ribosomal RNA". It matches the Rfam family "Bacterial small subunit ribosomal RNA", at positions 793 to 1055 of the family's 1533-position model. The record is from RNAcentral.